UUGUCCUACGGGGGGCAGCAGUGGGGAAUAUUGCACAAUGGGGGAAACCCUGAUGCAGCGACGCCGCGUGAGCGAUGAAGUAUUUCGGUAUGUAAAGCUCUAUCAGCAGGGAAGAAAAUGACGGUACCUGACUAAGAAGCCCCGGCUAACUACGUGCCAGCAGCCGCGGUAAUACGUAGGGGGCAAGCGUUAUCCGGAUUUACUGGGUGUAAAGGGAGCGUAGACGGCAAUGCAAGCCAGAUGUGAAAGCCCGGGGAUCAACCCCGGGACUGCCUUUGGAACUGUGUAGCUG
This 292-nucleotide ribosomal RNA is filed under the name uncultured bacterium. RNAcentral's name for it is "partial 16S ribosomal RNA". It matches the Rfam family "Bacterial small subunit ribosomal RNA", at positions 334 to 643 of the family's 1533-position model. The record is from RNAcentral.